RNAcentral lists this ribosomal RNA (402 nucleotides) under uncultured bacterium. RNAcentral describes it as "bacterial SSU rRNA". It matches the Rfam family "Bacterial small subunit ribosomal RNA", at positions 355 to 774 of the family's 1533-position model. The record is from RNAcentral.
UGGGGAAUAUUGGACAAUGGGCGCAAGCCUGAUCCAGCCAUGCCGCGUGCGUGAAGAAGGCCUUAGGGUUGUAAAGCGCUUUCACUGGUGAAGAUGAUGACGGUAGCCAGAGAAGAAGCCCCGGCUAACUCCGUGCCAGCAGCCGCGGUAAUACGGAGGGGGCAAGCGUUGUUCGGAAUUACUGGGCGUAAAGGGCGCGUAGGCGGAACAUUAAGUUAGGGGUGAAAGGCCUGGGCUCAACCUGGGAACGGCCUCUAAGACUGAUGAUCUCGAGUCCGGAAGAGGAUGGCGGAAUUCCCAGUGUAGAGGUGAAAUUCGUAGAUAUUGGGAAGAACACCGGUGGCGAAGGCGGCCAUCUGGUCCGGCACUGACGCUGAGGCGCGAAAGCGUGGGGAGCAAACA